ACGAACGCUGGCGGCGUGCUUAACACAUGCCAGUCGAACGGAAAGGCCCUGCUUUUGUGGGGUGCUCGAGUGGCGAACGGGUGAGUAACACGUGAGUAACCUGCCCUUGACUUUGGGAUAACUUCAGGAAACUGGGGCUAAUACCGGAUAGGAGCUCCUGCUGCAUGGUGGGGGUUGGAAAGUUUCGGCGGUUGGGGAUGGACUCGCGGCUUAUCAGCUUGUUGGUGGGGUAGUGGCUUACCAAGGCUUUGACGGGUAGCCGACCUGAGAGGGUGACCGGCCACAUUGGGACUGAGAUACGGCCCAGACUCCUACGGGAGGCAGCAGUGGGGAAUAUUGCACAAUGGGCGGAAGCCUGAUGCAGCAACGCCGCGUGCGGGAUGACGGCCUUCGGGUUGUAAACCGCUUUCGCCUGUGACGAAGCGUGAGUGACGGUAAUGGGUAAAGAAGCACCGGCUAACUACGUG
Molecule: ribosomal RNA, 467 nt
Filed under: uncultured bacterium
Lineage: Bacteria
Description: partial 16S ribosomal RNA
Rfam family: Bacterial small subunit ribosomal RNA
Source: RNAcentral